ACCGGCGCACGGGUGAGUACGCGUAUCCAACCUGCCUUUACUAUGGGACAGCCCGUCGAAAGGCGGAUUAAUACCGUAUGUUGUCAUGUUGAUGCAUAUUUUCAUGACCAAAGGCUUCGGCCGGUAAAGGAUGGGGAUGCGUCUGAUUAGCUUGCCGGCGGGGUAACGGCCCACCGGGGCGACGAUCAGUAGGGGUUCUGAGAGGAAGGUCCCCCACAUUGGAACUGAGACACGGUCCAAACUCCUACGGGAGGCAGCAG
This 260-nucleotide ribosomal RNA is filed under the name uncultured bacterium. Its description in RNAcentral is "partial 16S ribosomal RNA". It matches the Rfam family "Bacterial small subunit ribosomal RNA", at positions 94 to 354 of the family's 1533-position model. The record is from RNAcentral.